RNAcentral lists this ribosomal RNA (376 nucleotides) under uncultured bacterium. RNAcentral describes it as "bacterial SSU rRNA". It matches the Rfam family "Bacterial small subunit ribosomal RNA", at positions 28 to 405 of the family's 1533-position model. The record is from RNAcentral.
GACGAACGCUGGCGGCGUGCCUAACACAUGCAAGUCGAACGGAGUUAAGACUUCGGUUUUAACUUAGUGGCGAACGGGUGAGUAACGCGUGAGAAACCUGCCUUUCAGUGGGGGACAACAGUUGGAAACGACUGCUAAUACCGCAUAAUGUUAUUUGGGGGCAUCCCUGAAUAACCAAAGCUUUAUGUGCUGAAAGAUGGUCUCGCGUCUGAUUAGCUAGAUGGCGGGGUAACGGCCCACCAUGGCGACGAUCAGUAGCCGGUCUGAGAGGAUGAACGGCCACAUUGGGACUGAGAUACGGCCCAGACUCCUACGGGAGGCAGCAGUGGGGAAUAUUGGGCAAUGGGGGAAACCUGACCCAGCAACGCCGCGUGAA